This 530-nucleotide ribosomal RNA is filed under the name uncultured bacterium. RNAcentral's name for it is "bacterial SSU rRNA". It matches the Rfam family "Bacterial small subunit ribosomal RNA", at positions 376 to 896 of the family's 1533-position model. The record is from RNAcentral.
CGAAAGUCUGACGCAGCAACGCCGCGUGAGUGAAGAAGGCCUUCGGGUUGUAAAGCUCUGUCGAGCGAGACGAAAAAUUGAUUAGUGAAUAGCUAGUCAAUCUGACGGUACCGCUAAAGGAAGCACCGGCUAACUCCGUGCCAGCAGCCGCGGUAAUACGGAGGGUGCAAGCGUUGCUCGGAAUUAUUGGGCGUAAAGGGUAGGUAGGUGGUCUCGUUUGUCUGGGGUGAAAUCCUUGAGCUUAACUCAAGAAGUGCCUCAGAAACGGCGAGACUAGAGUUCUGGAGAGGGUCGUGGAAUUCCCGGUGUAGCGGUGAAAUGCGUAGAGAUCGGGAGGAACACCAGAGGCGAAGGCGGCGACCUGGACAGAUACUGACACUAAACUACGAAAGCGUGGGGAGCAAACAGGAUUAGAUACCCUGGUAGUCCACGCUGUAAACGAUGGGUACUAGGUUUGGUGGGUCUUGACCCCCGCCGAACCGGCGCUAACGCAAUAAGUACCCCGCCUGGGAAGUACGGUCGCAAGACUA